This 195-nucleotide small nuclear RNA is filed under the name Nelumbo nucifera (sacred lotus). RNAcentral describes it as "U2 spliceosomal RNA". It matches the Rfam family "U2 spliceosomal RNA". Rfam says of the family: U2 is a small nuclear RNA (snRNA) component of the spliceosome (involved in pre-mRNA splicing). Complementary binding between U2 snRNA (in an area lying towards the 5' end but 3' to hairpin I) and the branchpoint sequence (BPS) of the intron results the bulging out of an unpaired adenosine, on the BPS, which initiates a nucleophilic attack at the intronic 5' splice site, thus starting the first of two transesterification reactions that mediate splicing. Lineage: Eukaryota; Viridiplantae; Streptophyta; Magnoliopsida; Proteales; Nelumbonaceae. The record is from Rfam by way of RNAcentral.
UUAACUAUAAUUGGCUUUUGGCUAAGAUCAAGUGUAGUAUCUGUUCUUAUCAGUUUAAUAUCUGAUAUUGCGCCAUCGGCCUACAUGAUAUUAAAUUUAUUUUUUAAGGGAGAAGACCCACCACAGUAGCUUGCUACUGGGGUCUUUGCACGUGACCCAUGUGUUGCACUAUUGCACGGGCCUGGCACACCCCAU